UCAUAGCUUAAUCGAAUAAAGCAUUGGUCUCCGAAGCCAAAGACUAUGGGUUUGAAUCCCAUUGGGC
This 67-nucleotide transfer RNA is filed under the name chicken gut metagenome. It matches the Rfam family "tRNA", at positions 6 to 65 of the family's 71-position model. Rfam says of the family: Transfer RNA (tRNA) molecules are approximately 80 nucleotides in length. Their secondary structure includes four short double-helical elements and three loops (D, anti-codon, and T loops). The record is from RNAcentral.